GAACACCGGUUCUUGUACGAUCACCGAAGUUAAGCAACGUUGAGUAUGGUCAAUACCUAGAUCGGCGACCGCUUGGGAAUAUCAGGUGUUGUAAG
Molecule: ribosomal RNA, 95 nt
Filed under: Acanthosepion pharaonis
Lineage: Eukaryota; Metazoa; Mollusca; Cephalopoda; Sepiida; Sepiidae
Source: RNAcentral